This 496-nucleotide ribosomal RNA is filed under the name uncultured bacterium. RNAcentral describes it as "partial 16S ribosomal RNA". It matches the Rfam family "Bacterial small subunit ribosomal RNA", at positions 30 to 507 of the family's 1533-position model. The record is from RNAcentral.
UUAAACGCUGGCGGCGUGCCUAAUACAUGCAAGUCGAGCGAACAGACGAGGAGCUUGCUCCUCUGACGUUAGCGGCGGACGGGUGAGUAACACGUGGAUAACCUACCUAUAAGACUGGGAUAACUUCGGGAAACCGGAGCUAAUACCGGAUAAUAUAUUGAACCGCAUGGUUCAAUAGUGAAAGACGGUUUUGCUGUCACUUAUAGAUGGAUCCGCGCCGCAUUAGCUAGUUGGUAAGGUAACGGCUUACCAAGGCGACGAUGCGUAGCCGACCUGAGAGGGUGAUCGGCCACACUGGAACUGAGACACGGUCCAGACUCCUACGGGAGGCAGCAGUAGGGAAUCUUCCGCAAUGGGCGAAAGCCUGACGGAGCAACGCUGCGUGAGUGAUGAAGGUCUUCGGAUCGUAAAACUCUGUUAUUAGGGAAGAACAAAUGUGUAAGUAACUAUGCACGUCUUGACGGUACCUAAUCAGAAAGCCACGGCUAACUACGUG